This 179-nucleotide ribosomal RNA is filed under the name Photobacterium damselae. RNAcentral's name for it is "partial 23S ribosomal RNA". It matches the Rfam family "Bacterial large subunit ribosomal RNA", at positions 1 to 175 of the family's 2925-position model. Lineage: Bacteria; Pseudomonadati; Pseudomonadota; Gammaproteobacteria; Vibrionales; Vibrionaceae. The record is from RNAcentral.
GUUGUAUGGUUAAGUGACUAAGCGUACACGGUGGAUGCCUGGGCAGUCAGAGGCGAUGAAGGACGUACUAACUUGCGAUAAGCGUAGAUGAGGCAGUAAGAGCCACUUGAGUCUACGAUUUCCGAAUGGGGAAACCCAACUGCAUAAGCAGUUAUCUCAAUGUGAAUUCAUAGCAUUGU